RNAcentral lists this long non-coding RNA (279 nucleotides) under Helianthus annuus (common sunflower). Its description in RNAcentral is "sRNA HanXRQr2_Chr14g0625471". Lineage: Eukaryota; Viridiplantae; Streptophyta; Magnoliopsida; Asterales; Asteraceae. The record is from RNAcentral.
GUGUUUGGUCGACAUCUUCACAGGAGCAAAAAGGGGUUCUUCCAAGUGAACCCUAAACUCACAAAUUGGAUCAAAAUCAAGGGAAAUCAAGCCAAGAUUUUGGGGCUUUAACUAAAUUCGUGAUCACCAAGCUUAGGAGAUCACAAGUUGACUCUAAACAAGCUAGGUGGGAGCUUGGAAAGGAACGGGUUAAACGGAUCAUGGAUGCGAAGAAUGUUUGCGCGGACGCGAGGGUAAAACGGCUUAUGGAAUUUACGUGGCUAUGAAUCAGCAAAUUAU